GCCAGGCACAGUGGCACUUGCCUGUAAUCCCAGCGGCUUGGAGGCUGAGGCAGGAGGAUUGCAAAUUCAAAGCCAGCCUCAGUAACUUAGCAAGGCCCUAAGCAACUUGGGUGAGAUCCUGUCUCUA
RNAcentral lists this small RNA (127 nucleotides) under Marmota monax (woodchuck). The record is from RNAcentral. Lineage: Eukaryota; Metazoa; Chordata; Mammalia; Rodentia; Sciuridae.